Molecule: RNA transcript, 5340 nt
Organism: Leopardus geoffroyi (Geoffroy's cat)
Lineage: Eukaryota; Metazoa; Chordata; Mammalia; Carnivora; Felidae
Gene: TYW2
Gene name: tRNA methyltransferase 12 homolog
Exons: 3
Source: RefSeq, a predicted model, not a curated record
GACAAUGAGUUGGUGACGACUAUCUUAAGGAAAAGGAAUGAGGAAGCUAUAGUUGACUCCUCACUCUCAGCAAAUACCGUGGCCACUGACACUGACCUGAGAGCAGCAUGAGACUAUGGAAACCAUGCCUUUCUCCAAAUCCAGCCCAUCAUUCCAAGUGCACUUCUCUCUUUGGAUUCGUGAGCAUAACUGAAGAGAGUGCACGAGGGUUCUAGCGGAUAUCGACUAAUUUUAAGUUUUCGAGCCCAGAGAAUUUCUUGUUUUAACUAAUCUCCCGUUAAGCCGAAGCAAGGCAUGGUCAACCACAACAAAGAUGGCGGCAGCAACGUCUCCACGGCAACGGCGACGCAUUUGUCCGCAAGCGCACCAACCUUUUGUUCCGGCCUGCCAUUUUGACGUCACUUCCGGCUCCGGCGGGCGGUGUGCGCGCAGCUCUUCCUGUUGCUGCUGUGGUGGAGAUCCCGGUCCUGAUGAGUGGAGUCUGAGUGAGUCUCGCGGAGGGACUCGGAGAGAAUGGGGCACCAGCAGCAUGGAAAGGGAAGGUGGGAAGAACGCGGCUGUUGUCGCAGUUGUGACUGAGCCUCGGUUUACCCAGCGAUACAGGGAAUAUCUCGAGAAGCAGAAACUCUUGGAUAGACAGCACCGUGUGGCAAAGAUGCCGGAUGGCACCGUGGCGCUACCCGUGCUGGGCGAGGCUUUCCGUGAACAGCACCUGCGGGAGCUGAGGAAUUGUGUGGCCCCAGGCAGCACCUGUAUAGUAACCCAGCUCCUGGAUCCUGUUCCCUCCAAGAAGGCUCAGAGUUGUUCACCUGCCCAAAGGCUGUGUCUUGAAGUGAGUCACUGGGUAGAGGGCCGGGGAGUGACGUGGUCAGCUGAGUUGGAGGCUGAUUUGCCCCGAUCUUGGCAACGGCAUGGUAACCUCUUGUUGCUGAGUGAAGACUGUUUCCAAGCCAAGCAGUGGAAAAAUCUGGAACCAGAACUCUGGGAGACUGUUGCGUCGGCCCUUGGCGUCCGUCGUGUGGCCAAACGAGGGCGGGUAUCACCAGACGGCACUCGAACACCAGCCGUGACUCUGCUGCUGGGCGACCAUGGCUGGGUAGAGCAUGUCGAUAAUGGGAUCCGAUAUAAGUUUGACGUGACCCAGUGCAUGUUCUCCUUCGGAAACAUCACCGAGAAGCUUCGAGUGGCAUCGCUGCCCUGUGCCAGAGAGGUGCUGGUGGAUCUCUACGCAGGGAUUGGCUAUUUUACGUUGCCCUUCCUGGUCCAUGCUGGUGCUGCCUUCGUCCACGCCUGUGAGUGGAACCCCCAUGCUGUAGUUGCCCUGAGAACUAAUCUUGAGAUCAAUGGAGUGGCAGAUCGGUGCCAAAUACACUUUGGGGAUAACAGAAAACUGAAGCUCUCAAACAUUGCAGACAGGGUGAACCUGGGGCUGAUUCCCAGCUCUGAAGAAGGCUGGCCCAUUGCCUGCCAGGUGCUAAAACAGGAUGCUGGGGGCAUUUUGCAUAUCCACCAAAAUGUGGAAUCUUUCCCAGGGAAGACUCUCCAGCCUCUUGGAAGCAGUGAAAUGGAGAAGGAGCAUUGGCCUUAUCCUCAGCAAAUUAUCACCAACCAAGGGACAAAUGGAGCUACCGGGGAUUCUAGGAGAAAAACGCUGCCAGCAGCCACCAAACCAGAGUGGCAGAGGUGGGCAGAAUCUGCAGAAACUCGUAUUGCCACCCUUCUUCGGCAGGUGCACGGGAAACCAUGGAAGACACAAAUCCUGCACAUCCAACCAGUGAAAUCCUACGCUCCCCACGUGGACCACAUAGUCUUGGAUCUGGAAUGCCGCCCCUGCCCUCUAGUUGGCUAGAGAAGGUGGAUCCUGAGACCCAAGGAUCUACAUUCUCCUCCGAGCACUUGCUGGAUUGGCCUGGUCAGAAAGAGGCACCUAAUGGAACCGAGGAAAAAAGACUGAAAGGAUCAGGAGGCUCAUGGAGGCUUGGUCACCUCGGUCCGGGAACGUUUAAAAGUGCUGAAGCUUCCUCCGUGAGCAUCAGUAUUAGUUGUCACUUAGGGGGCACCGUUUGAUGGAGAGGUUGUGAUUAAAAAACAGUGACGAUAACUUUAUUAAACUCCCUCAACUAUGAGUUGCUUUAUUCAUUAACUUCAUGAUUUUAAUAAGUGAUGCGCAUCUCUUGGCCUAGGGAGUAUAAUGCAUGCAUGUUAAAUAUAAAAACAUAGAAAUUUGAAAUGAUGAGAAACACAUAAAUAGCAUUUUGAAUUCACUUUCUCCCACCCUGGACACGUGUCACUAUAUGUCAUUCUGAACAGCCUCGGGGUGCGGCCGCUUCACACUGGGCAAGCCGUGACACUCGUCAUUUUCUUGGCCUUUGGUAGCGUCCUCUUGUGCGUACUGAUCAUUACUCAGCUGACGCUUCAGGGGAUGGUCGGCAGAUCUCGGAACUUCUCCGUGGCCCUCUCCCGUUUGGCAUUCCAACCUCUAAACUCGCUAACUGGGCUCCUGGGACUCCCAGUACCAUCUCCGCCUCAGGGAGUCGGCUGGGCUCCACCCGGCUUCCCCCUCGUCCUGCCACAGCCGGGGAACUUUCUCCAGGCAAUAGGCUGGAGCCAUCAAACCAUUAAAUGGCUCGCCUUAUUUUUAUCUCCCGUGGAUCAUUGUCCUUCAUUGCCUUGAGGAUAGUUGUUUCUUAUAUUUUGUGUAGCUUUUUUUUUUUUAACUCUUUAGAAGUUUAUAAUAGCGUAUAAAUUUACUAGUUUUCACAAUCACUGAAGAAACUCACGUUAGCAAUAAUAAAUACAGAUCAGUACUUAAGCUGACACAAAACUUCAACAUAUAAAGUUCAUAAGAAUUUCUUACCACAAUUGUGUUAGGAUCCCUACCUAUGUUAUAAACCGAAUGUAAAACUAUUAACACUAAGUACAGGGGAAAUUUUCUGAUGAGAUUUGAGACUGCCUGCAAGAUUACUUGAUCAACAAUCACAUAAUUUCAGAGAGGGCCCAAACUGUCAGAACAGGUGUUUGCUUCUGGCUUUUUGAAGGUGAAGGUUGAAUCAAAGGCAAAUAGAAAAUAACGAAUAUGAGGCUACAACUGCGGUUUGGAACAUACCACACACAUGCACACGCACGUAUCCACCACACUUAUGUACCCUGUCGUCUCCUGGAUGGAGUGGCCCAUGCAACGAAGCUCUCUCUACGCUAUUAGGUAGGUAUUUAUAGAUGGACAGACAGACGGUCCUAGUUUCCUUUUUUAGUCAUUGAAUUUUGCUUUUUUAAAUGAAAGCUAUAUGUAUGCAUAGUUUCAUAACUCAAGCGAAGGUCAACAAAACUUGAUGAGUAAAACUGCAGCUGCACAACACCGAACAAAGCAACUGGCUCAAUCCUACACGGCUCCUUUUCUCUUGUUUUUGUGUCUUCUGUCAACAAUUUCAGCUGGGCCCAUGUGCCAAAGGGGAUGCAGGAUCUAAGCAACAUGUACCAGCAGGAGCCAUGAGAGUACGUAUGGAACUGAGCCCUGAGGGUGCUGGGUGAGAAGCAGUUUGCGUUCAUGUAGGACCCCACUCCCCCAUCAUUAUAGUCUGAGGAGACCUAUGGGAACAUUUCGAGGAACACCCUACUAACCUACUAUACUUACGGCGUCAUACUCAUUAGGCCAGAGAAACAAUGAGCUAGUAUAUUGUACUCCGAAUAAUCACUAAUACCAUCCAGCAACCUGUUCCAUCAGUGAAAUUUUUAGGGCUACUGGUCUGCUUGAAUGCCAAGAUUGCUCCUUCACGGUAAAGAACAGAUUUUUCCAUCUCACCCACUCAUCAGUGUUCCUCCGUCAAGGAAGCACGCCAACCUCUGUAUGCUCCUUUGUGGGAAUUCGGGACUUGGGAAUACUGCUCUGACUCCUAUCCUGGGUGAUAUAGAAGGCUGCCAGUUUUCGGUGGGAUCCACAGCACAUAAAGUCUCUGUAGCAGGUACAGGUUGCGGUGUAAUUAGCUUUGUUUCAUGGACCAUUCAAUCCAGGAGAUUCUAUGGUACAAGAGUAUCUGUGAUAAGCAAAGCAGCCAUGGAAGUUUAGGACAAGCUCCAAUGGGAAAAUCACAAGGUAGUCUCAAGUGGAUGUCUGUAGCAAGGCCAGAUGGUAUGCAGCAGAGAGCCAGGCGUCAUCCAAAAAUGGCUCCUGGCAUGCUAAUGGGCAUUGGUAGAAUCUGAGCAUCUUCUGGGACUUCGGGUAACCAUGUAGCCAGAGUUGCCCAUCAUGAGCUGAGUUUUGUCAGACCCUUCAAGUCAAACCAUCAUAAGGUGGAAGUGGUACAUCUGGGAUGGAUGGCGAGAGCCAGAGGAAACGAAUAGGUGCACAGGUGAGGAUACUGAUGAUUAGAGAGUUUAAGUUCUCUGUCUAGAGUGAGAGGCAGAAGCGGGCAAACUUCCUGCCAAAUGCAUAGAAAGUGCUCGGCAAAUGUCUGUCACAGGAAUUGAACGAACUGAAGGAGUCAGUAUAUACUCAACAUUGAUUGCAAAUGCCACCAUAUUCUCUGUUGUUUCCUUUGUUAACUAAACAACAGACUUUUCCUAUUCACUUGGCAUUUACAAAACCGGAAAACUCAAAUAGUAGCUGAAUGUUGAUGGGCAUAUCUGAAAUUUACUUUAAUGAAAUGAGAAAAACUGUAAUUUGGGAUCAGAAGCCUUUUUUUUUUUUUUUUUUUUUUUUUUAAGUAAUUCCAAAGGUCUGAGAAAAAGUUAUGGGGUGUAUCUAUCCCUUUUUGGGCUGUCAAUUCCCACCCUUCCCCCCAGCAUCCCCAUCAUCCGUUUGAAGUAAAUACAUAAUACAUUGGUGGGUAGAGGUGGGGUGGGUAGUUCUAAGUGCUGGCUUCUUUCUGCUUUCUCCCGCUAAGGAAGCUGUUGGCACUGGCUGGUACAGCUGGGGUAAGACACAGGGUCCCAUAAGCUCGGCUAAUUGCAUCUCACUCUUGGAACUUGAAAUCGUGAAGAAUAAUGAAAAUAACCCUCUAAUAAUCUCCCUUUUUGCUUAAGAUAGCCCAGAAUCAGUUCCUGUUGCUUAGAACAGAGACCUGGCAAGUGCAAAGGUCAACAGAAAAGUCAAACAAGUUUUUACAUGUUCUGUUUCCAAAGGCUUUUUAGAACUAAAGGGCAUUCAACCAUUAAAGCCAAAUGAAGUUAUUUUUAAGCUGGUAAUAUUUUAAACGGGCAACUUACGUAUAUAGAGUGUGUCUGUGUGAAUGCACACACACCCUCCACACUGCUCUGAGUGGAUUCAAUAUAAACAUAUACCUGAAUUGUGCAACAUUCAAGUCAAUGUAGAAACCAAGCAAAGAUUAAAUUCAGUGAAUUGCA